RNAcentral lists this ribosomal RNA (235 nucleotides) under uncultured bacterium. Its description in RNAcentral is "partial 16S ribosomal RNA". It matches the Rfam family "Bacterial small subunit ribosomal RNA", at positions 99 to 334 of the family's 1533-position model. The record is from RNAcentral.
CGGACGGGUGAGUAACGCGUGGGUAACCUGCCUUGUACUGGGGGACAACAGUUAGAAAUGACUGCUAAUACCGCAUAAGCGCACAGUAUCGCAUGAUACAGUGUGAAAAACUCCGGUGGUACAAGAUGGACCCGCGUCUGAUUAGCUAGUUGGUAAGGUAACGGCUUACCAAGGCGACGAUCAGUAGCCGACCUGAGAGGGUGACCGGCCACAUUGGGACCGAGACACGGCCCAA